UUCCCUCGUCCAUCUCUUCAGCCGAUCGGGGCGGCUGGACGACGCGCGCGAGAUCUUCCAGGGAAUGAUCGACAGAGCACGGUUUCUUGGAAUAUCGCCAUCACGGCCACGGCCAAGGCCGGCACGGCCGAUCGGCGCUCCAGCUGCUGGAAUCCAUGGCGCUCGACGGUUGCGCGCCCGACGCGAUCACAUUCUCGUGCCACAUUGGAUCGAGCGUGCCUUGGUACCUAUAGUUUCAUAAUAAAAACCAUUACAUUCUAGAAAAUGCAUUUAAAAAAAAGUGCUUACUUCAUUGGAUGAAUGGAAAGAAACAGAAGCCUCAUUCCCAGAUGCAUCUUUCCAGAUAUGACAGACAUAACAAGGUAGUAGCAAAAGAUUGCAAACGUGGUGGUUCCCAGCAAGCCUGAAAAGAAGGAAACUAUUCAGGUCUAGAGAUCGCAUCGACAGAAAGUACCCCCGACAGUGUCAAGCUGAAUAAAGACUUGAUUCAGAAACGGAAAAGCUGGAGGAUUGACAAGCAUGAAAACAAUGAUGUGGAGAAGCCAAAUUAUAGACAAAGCCAAACUGCAACAAGAGAAAUAAUAAGACUGAAUCUUUUUCUCAAGGACUUUCUUACCCGACAAUGCCAAAAACAAGCUUGGCUAGGUAGAAGAGAACCGUAAGUGUCUGCCUGAGAGAAAACCAGCAGUAGAAUCAGCACAAAAACUUAAAUGGUAAACUAGAACGGUACCUUCUCUCCCUGUGGGAAUGCCUCAUUCAGAGCUUCAACAUCAUCUUCCAAAAAGACAAGCUCCUGAAUCGAGCUACACAUAUGCGUUUGUCAACAUGAUCACGUCCACCAUUUACUUUUGUUUCUGUGCGCAGUGGUGCUCACCUGCUGGACUUUCUUCACAUUUUUUCGAAACAUCCGUCCUUUCUUCCCACCUCUCUCUUCGCGUUGGAGGCCCAAAGUCGCCGUUUUUAGCUCGUUAGAGCGCUUGGCUAGAUCAGUCGCCUCCUGUAAAGCCAUCACCUUGAAGAUAUUAGUUGCAAGAAAUGAGAACAAAUCACACACACACCUUUACGUAUUGAGCACGAGUAAUAACACACUUGGGCCUAUUCUUGAACGCAAAUAUGAGGCUCAGUGGUAAUGUUGCCAUUCCAACACCUCCAAACAUCUGCAGGAAGGAAAUCAGAUCUUCUAGAAAACAACACAUAAAACGACAUUACCAUGAAGAGUAUUGAUCCUAUUAUUGUGUUUAAUGUGAUCACGUAAGUCACAGAUAGUUUUAACCAGAGAUCCAGACAUAUAAGCUGCACACUGUCACACAAUGUUGUCAGAUCAAUGAAGAAAGGGAAAAUGUAAAAGAAAAGGCUUACCAUGAGAGUAACAUUAGAAAACAAUGAGAAACCAGCCGAAACCAAGCACGAAGCCUUUGCAUUGAGCGAGCUAAAAUCAUUAAUGAACGCCAUCGUUGUGGAUGAAAGACUUCUCAUGGUGAAAUCGGCAUAACCAAUAACAGCUUCAAGCAAUCACGUAGAAAAAGGGUUUAAGAACAAAAGAUGGAAAAGAGCUUCUUACCAUAGAGAAUUCCCAAAAGGAGGCAGAAAACUGUGAGGAGUAUCACCACCCACAAGAGAGCGUUCUUUACCCUUUGUGUCACAGUCCUGGAAAUCACCACGAACAAAGAAAGCUUUUGAGAUCAUGGAGGAAUAGAAAGAACUUAAGAAACUCUAGGAGGAGCUCGGUCGAUCGAGUAUUCUAAGAACAAGAACAAAAAGAUGGAAGAUUACUUCUCCUGAUCGCUCUCGUAGAAGAAGAUCGCGAAAGGAAUGACGAGCACAGUGUCGAUGAUGUAAACCGCCCACCAUAGCUGCUUCAUCGGGAGAGUGAGCUUACACGCCCCGACGUAGAGAUUCUUCUCGCAGGAAUGGCGAUUCGCGACGUCCGCCGGGAGCAUCAGGAUCGAGAGUUGGGCAAUGCUGAGCCCAAUCACGACGAUGAUCUUGGGAAGAUAGGCCUGAUUCUGGAGCGCGUGAUGCCGGGGAUCCAGCGUCUCGAGGAGCUGGAGAACGGGGAGCGUAAUGCCGGUGGCGAUGGAUCCUCAGCUCCUCGGCCGCGGUAAUCUAUAGCGUGCCGGGCGGAUUGAGGGAUCCAGGGCGAUUGUGUGUCGUGGAGCAAUGGGAACCAGCUCCAGCUCUCCUACAUCGAGAAUGCUGUGGGAGGCGGUGGAAGAGUCACGGAGAUUCAUCUGGGAGAAGGAUGGGAUGCCGAGAGGCGGCGACUGGCGUAUGAUUCUCUCCCGGCUUUUGCUCUUCUCCAGAACCAGCGGCAAUUGGGCUACAACCCUGGCGACUGGUCACUGGUAUGAAAAAUUCUUCUCUUUUUCUCUAGAAACGCUAGUUGUGAUCGCAGGUGGGAGCAUGUUUUAGAAUAUAGCGAGAGCAUUCGCAGCGUUCUCGACCAGCCCACCCAAGGCAAGGUUGUGUGAGAGAAUGAUGUGAAAGAUUCAUUUGAUUUAUUUAUUUGUUUUGUGCAGGAGGAGAAGACCUCGAUGCUUAAGGCUGUGUGGGAGCUCAUAGAAGUUUUCUAUGUGGACAGAAGCGCGACAUGGUGGCUUCCGGAGCGUCUUGUAGACUGGCUAGCGGUAAGAAGCAGUGAGUUUUUUCUUGACUUACGAUUGAUUUGCCUGUGAGCUUUGCAGAAGUAUGACAAAGUCCUCUUGAUUGAUGAGGACACUGUACAUUCCAAGGUAGUGUCGUUCCAGCGGAAGCUUUCCGAGAUUCAAGUAAGUUCGAAGUCUUGCAGCUUUUUGUUUUCUCUUUGUGUAUCGUUGUUUAACUUGCACUUGCAGUUUCCCGAAGACGAUGCAGCUUACUGGGAUGCAAUGGCCUCGGCCUUGUCAGUCGGAUGGCUUGACGUUGUUGUAAGUUGUAAAACUGUGCGUGUAAGUUCCAUUGGUAAUCUCAAUCUUCCAGAUAGCGUUCUUGCGGAUGCAUGGAUCGUAUCGAUUGGAUCAGCUUGAUGACCGGCAGGUUUCUUUCUCCAUGCUGUUUUGUUGACUUGCGUUAACUUCCGGAUGCUUUUUUAUGUCUUGGCAGACUGAAAAUGGCCUCGUAGAAGCAGUUACACUGCUCAUUAUGCAAAUGCCGCGGCUGCGCCCAAGGCUCCCUGAUGAAAGUCCUGGUGUUGCUAUAGGUUUUAAGCCUGACUCUUCUAAGGUUUGAUGUGGUUGCAGCAAAGUUUUUAGUUUCUCAGAUUUUAUUACAUGCAGGCGAGGGAAAAAUGGCGAAGUCAGGUUUCCAAGCUUGAAAAUAGUGUGUUUUGGGCGGAAUGCAACCACCGUGGGACGCUUCUUGGUCUUAAGAAGCUAAUACAGGUGCUAUUGGGAAACGUUGAUGUUCUACAGCUCUCUACGUUUCACUGGAUGGAGCUGCUGGUGGCGCAUUUCCUACAUCUGAUACCUUUUUCUUUGGUAUGUAUGAACUGUGUAGUGUGCUCAGUUCACUUGCAAUUAUCGGGUGCAGGUCUUAGAUGGAAUGCGUAGCAUAGCUUCCAAGUGCAAAAGAUUGAAAAGUUCUGGGGACGAAGACCUUGAAGAACUUUUAUCUGCAAUUAUCAGCAACGACACCGAGGUAAAUGCUCUUCCCCGUCACAGUGGAGUUUAAUCUAGCACUAUACAGAUACUCUUGGCGAAGUGUUCGAAGGUUUUCAAUGCCUGGUAAGAACUUCUCAUGUCGAAUAUUGAUAUAAAUUUUCUAUCAGGAUGAUGGCGCAUGUUGAUGAUCUCCUGAUAGCAAAAGGGGAGGACGUUCGAUCUCUUCUUGAAGAAGACAGGCAAACUCUAGGCGGCUUGAGCUUGAAAGAACUCCAUCGUUUGGUUUAUUCUCAAGUACUGUCUUCGCACAGCUUAACCUGGCAGGUAUAUCGUUGAUUUCUUUGUUCUUGAUGUUUGUCUAACAAUUAUCUCAGCUAGCACCUGUUUACCUCGCGGCUUGCCCAAAGCAAGGCCUGGGAAUGCUUGAAGCUCUCCUAAUGAAGCAGAGUUGUUCCAAUCAGAAACUGGCAUUGAAGGUUGGUCUUGGUGUGACGUUUUCUUGAAUCUUAAUGUGAAUUUUGUGCAACAGGCACUAGAGAUAUGCCGCCUCUAUGAACUUGAUACCGUGAGCACAGCCAUCGCCAGGGUUUAGUAUCUUCUUCCUUUCCAGGCUUGGGGUUCUCACAUGUGUUUUAUGUCUUCCAGGCUGUUGGUGUUCAUAGUUUAAAGCAUGGAAAGAAGGGCCAAGGGAUAAUGUGGCUUCAAUUGGCCCGAGACGAGCAGAGGCUUUCUACUCUUGUGGAUCAGAUUUUGAACACAAUAACGUCUGGUGAAGCUGAUAGUCUGGAUAAUCUCGAGGUAGCAGUCUUACGUUUUAUUUGAUACACGCACACUUUUAACGCUCUUUUCCCGUGCCAGCAUUUUGAGGGUCUCUGUGACAUCCUUGGCUCGGGAGCAACGAAGCAUCAAGGCCUGUCGUUCCUAGCAAGGUACUCACUUUAUACAGUUGCGAAACUAUCCGGAGCUCACUUCUAACUUCACACAGGUACAAAAGCUUUAAGGCAGCGCUGCAAAACAUCAGAGAUCUGUGGCUUCCUACACCGAAAACCUCGCUGUGACUUCUCUUCUCCAGGUUACCAAUCCGUUCGGAACUUCUUCUUGCUCACUAAAACCCCGGCUUGCAGCUUCUAAAAUCUGGAACCUUUCCACGUAAAUUCUGGCUGUCCUUGCUCCAAGAAUCAGUAUGGAGCUGUUCUCACAUCUCGUUUACACUCUAAAAUUCGGAUCUAUCAGGUGGAGCUGCUGGAAUGGCCGGAGCAAGUGCUGGUUAGCGAGUCCGAAACAAACACUCUACUCUGCUGCCUCCAGGAACUCUUCCUCGCCAGGGACCGGCUAGAGAACGACAUCCUAGGCACCGCAGAGCCUGGCGCUUUGGAUCGCCUGAGAUUGGCGCUGGCAUCCAACUUGGGCCGUGCCAUCUUGCAAAGCUGAUCGUAGCUUGGCAUAGAUUCUCUCUGUCCAAAAAUCACUAGCUGAUUCUCAGCGUGCAACAAAUGUAGUUGCUCCACCACGAUCGCUGCUGCUUAUGCCGGUUGUCACCACCGCUACCAAUGCUACCAGCGCCACCGCUAAACUUUGGCGAGGGGUUUCUAACAUUCUCGAUGGCUUUCAUCAGGACGUUGUUAUUGGUACGCUUGGGUGGUGGCAUCAAUCAACACCUCCCUAUCCUGCCUUGGAAGUCAGGCUCCCAAUCUCAGACAAGCGCAAACAAGCUUUUGCUACUCUCCCCUAACAGUGUGAUUUCACCCUGUUGACGUUCACGGCCCAUUUCCUUCACCAUCAAUUCUCCAAAGGGUUUUUAAAGUUGUAAAAGUUGACUUAGUGGACCUGUGGGUUUCCACAAGCACUGGUUCCUUUGCGACGAUGCGGUUCCAGGCAAAGUCGUCUACUCAUUUGGCGAGGAGAGGACGCUGCAAUCUACCCAGAGCAAUGUACGGCAGUUUAUCAUGCCCUAAAAGCAUAUGCGUAAAGAAUAUGAUACCUGAUUUUCUUGGCGUUUUCUGUUUGGUGUAAAUGCGUUUAACUCAUUUUCUGCACUAAACUAAUCUUUCAGAACGCUCAAUCCACCCAAUCACCUUUUUUUUUUUAACCUGCAGGUUUGGAGGUAUAUGUAUGACAAAGUCAUGCAGCUGCGAUGAGUCAAGCUAUACUUCAUUUUGGGAUAAACAUGUUUUGUGCACUAAAUUAACUCAUUUACCCCAUUAUAAAAAUGGAGUCUUCUUCUGGUGUACAUACUUCUUCUGAAGGUGAAUUGCAAUGGCAACAAUGGCGACAAUGCAGGGAGCCUUGGUGACAUUGUGGCGAAUUUUGAUUUCAGCAAGGUAAAGUGGAACCUGUCUUGCCCAAAGCAGUGCUUAACUCCUUGUGGAAUGCUCCAGAUUGAUGUGCGUUCCAAGAGUUCCGAGGAUUACCUCCACACCAACCUGGCACCAUCGUUUGGGGCAUUGAAUGCAGAAACAGUGAAGAAGAUGGAUGAGGUUCUCAAGGUUUGCAUCUCAGGAACUACCACUCUUCUUGCCACAGUGCCACCAGAAGAGCGAACUUGGGAGAAGGUCAACUCCAUGUUCAUGCAAAAUCCCCUGGUUGAGCCAAUGGGCGAUGGGGUUAGCAGAGCUGACAAGUUUCUCAACAAACUCCCGAAGGAUCACAUUUUUCAAGGAGCUAUUGUGAAAGCAGUAGUAGAAGUUAUAUAUUAUAGAAGCUAUUAACCUUUGCGGCCUUCUCUCGUCACAGGUCCGGACCUGGUUUGUGAAUCUGAUUGCAGAUGAGGACGUCCUGAAAUCAACCAAGAUCGACAUUGAAGUUCUUCAGGAAAUUCUUGCGCAGUCUGCCAAGCAUGAGCACCACGAGAAGACCAUAGUUGACAUCGUGGUCUUAAGGUACCCUGAUAUGGAAAACCCGUACUUCAAGGUUUGUGCCCAGGCUGCCCUUUGUAUUUCAGUCACAGCUCAUGCUUAUGAGUACAGGUGUACCGCAUCAAACUCUUUGCUUCGUCUGAUAGCACCCAUAUUUUGUUCCAUCAGGUGGAUUCCAAUGGCAUCAUUGGAGGUGAGGUGUCUAAUGUAAACCACUGAAGACUGCACGCUCCUUUUGUUCUAUUUGCAGAGUUCACCUUCCAUAAGUUUAAGCCACACAAGGAGGUCAUUGACAAGAUGAACCCAGACGCCAAAAAGAAGGCUGUGGAGGCUGCAGAUAACAUCUUUGGUGACAUUGACAAGGCUGUGGAUGCAGAUAACAUCUUUGGUGUCAUUGGCAAGGUUGUGGAAGCUGCAGAUAACAUCUUUGGUUUCUAAUAUCCAGGCUGUGUCAAUUGAGCCAAGAUGCCCCCUGCUUCAAGCUAAAACAUCUUUCUAAAUAAUAAUCAAGUCAUAUCUUUCAUUUACUUGAAAAUAACAGUCUUUUUAAUCUCAAUUUCUGAAAGAGACAUUCAGGGAAACAACGGCUUCAUAGACCUGGAACGACAAACUACAUAAAAGUAAUAAAUAUAUAAAAGCUAGAUGCUUUGGAUUCCGUCAAUGUAGCAAAUUUUUGCCUUCCACUGGAAUAUUGGAAGGUGAUGAUAAGUUUAUCUAUGAGAGUCUAUAACGCUCAUACCUUCACGAUGUUGUUGAAACUUGUCUUUGCUCAAAGCUUUUGUCAUAAUGUUCUAUCUAUAUACUGUUUAUAGUCUUGUGGUGCCCAUCAAGAAGCAUUGAUAUAUUAAUAAAACGAAACAGGACAGUUUGAGAUCAUUAUCAUUGUCUCUUUGGUCUCUGUAGAUUCUUCGCACUCAAGGUUACCACAAGUUAGCCACGGACACGCUCAAUCAGCUCUAAGCCGAGUUGAUGGCUUGGCUGUGAGUGCCAUUUGGCUCUCCAUCUGGUGCCGGAUUUUCCCAUCCUGCUACUUUGAUGCAAACGACCCCAGGAACUCUGUCGCAAAAAUAUUGUAGAGCAACAAGGUCUCUCAGACAAGGUAAUAUUUAAGUUGACUUUGACAAGGAACAAAACUUCGAGAAUAGAACUUUAGAGAAUGCUAUUGGGCGUUUUUGUUGCAAACGGCUUGGCACAGUGCAGCCAGUGCUGAUGGAACAAGGCAAAGGGAGGCCCUCAGAACCGUCAAGCUUUUCCUCCUGUAACUCACGAACUUUGUCAUGAGCAUAUUGUAAGUUUUCUUUGGCAAAUGCUUAUGUACUGAUCAGUUGUUUCAGGCUAUUUCGGCAGCACAUCAGAGGUGUGACAUCUCCUGCUAUGGUCCUAGAGAUCUACUCCGGGAUUAGAUUUCUCGCUCAUUCAAGACAAUCCAGAUGUUAAGACAGUUGUAAAGUUUUAGAUUAAUUGUUCCUAGUGUUCCUCUAACAUGGCACUGUUUGGGUUUGAAAUCUGGUAAGCUAAAUGCGCAGGCCAUGCAUUUUGUAGAAUGUAUCCAAUCUUUCCAAAACAGCAACUUCCCUUAUUUCUUUUCCUACUUUCUUGUCUAGCUGAGAACACCUAUAGUUUCAUAAUAAAAACCAUUACAUUCUAGAAAAU
This 8086-nucleotide long non-coding RNA is filed under the name Selaginella moellendorffii. RNAcentral's name for it is "long non-coding RNA (SMOE_LNC002419)". The record is from RNAcentral. Lineage: Eukaryota; Viridiplantae; Streptophyta; Lycopodiopsida; Selaginellales; Selaginellaceae.